GAUGAACGCUAGCUACAGGCUUAACACAUGCAAGUCGAGGGGUAACGAGAGGAAAGCUUGCUUUCCUUGUCGACGACCGGCGCACGGGUGAGUAACGCGUAUCCAACCUGCCCCCAACUAGGGAAUAACCUUGCGAAAGUAAGACUAAUACCCUAUAAUUUCCUCAGAUGUCAUCUGACGAGGAAUAAAGAUUUAUCGGUUGUGGAUGGGGAUGCGUCUGAUUAGCUUGUUGGCGGGGUAACGGCCCACCAAGGCAACGAUCAGUAGGGGUUCUGAGAGGAAGGUCCCCCAAAUUGGAACUGAGACACGGUCCAAACUCCUACGGGAGGCAGCAGUGAGGAAUAUUGGUCAAUGGGCGGAGGCCUGAACCAGCCAAGUAGCGUGCAGGAUGACGGCCCUAUGGGUUGUAAACUGCUUUUAUACAGGAAUAAAGUUAGCCACGUGUGGUUAUUUGUAGGUACUGUAUGAAUAAGGACCGGCUAAUUCCGUGCCAGCCGCCGCAGUAA
Molecule: ribosomal RNA, 506 nt
Filed under: uncultured bacterium
Lineage: Bacteria
Description: partial 16S ribosomal RNA
Rfam family: Bacterial small subunit ribosomal RNA
Source: RNAcentral